GAACUGCGAUAAGUAAUGUGAAUUGCAGAAUUCAGUGAAUCAUCGAGUCUUUGAACGCACAUUGCGCCCCCUGGCAUUCCGGGGGGCAUGCCUGUCCGAGCGUCAUUGCUGCCCUUCAAGCCCGGCUUGUGUGUUGGGUCGUCGUCCCCUCCGGGGGACGGGCCCGAAAGGCAGCGGCGGCACCGCGUCCGGUCCUCGAGCGUAUGGGGCUUUGUCACCCGCUCGACAAGGACCGGCCGGGCGCCAGCCGGCGUCUCCAACCUUUUUUUCUCAGGUUGACCUCGGAUCAGGUAGGGAUACCCGCUGAACUUAAGC
This 315-nucleotide unclassified non-coding RNA is filed under the name plant metagenome. RNAcentral describes it as "partial contains 5.8S ribosomal RNA, internal transcribed spacer 2, and large subunit ribosomal RNA". The stretch from base 1 to 105 matches the Rfam family "5.8S ribosomal RNA", at positions 50 to 154 of the family's 154-position model. The record is from RNAcentral.